UAACUCCGUGCCAGCAGCCGCGGUAAUACGGGGGAUGCGAGCGUUAUCCGGAUUCAUUGGGUUUAAAGGGUGCGUAGGCGGCUUUGCAAGUCAGCGGUGAAAGGCCCGGGCUCAACCCGGAAAGUGCCGUUGAUACUGUGAGGCUGGAAUGCGGAUGCUGUGGGAGGAAUGAGUGGUGUAGCGGUGAAAUGCAUAGAUAUCACUCAGAACACCGAUUGCGAAGGCAUCUCACAAAUCCGCAAUUGACGCUGAGGCACGAAAGCGUGGGGAUCGAACAGGAUUAGAUACCCUGGUAGUCCACGCAGUAAACGAUGAUGGCUAACUGUCGGGUUUUAGGAUUCGGCGGCCAAGCGAAAGCGAUAAGCCAUCCACCUGGGGAGUACGACCGCAAGGUUGAAACUCAAAGGAAUUGACGGGGGCCCGCACAAGCGGAGGAACAUGUGGUUUAAUUCGAUGAUACGCGAGGAACCUUACCCGGGCUUGAACUGCAGGAGAACGAAUCAGAGAUGAUGAGGCCCUUCGGGGCUCCUGUGGAGGUGCUGCAUGGUUGUCGUCAGCUCGUGCCGUGAGGUGUCGGCUUAAGUGCCAUAACGAGCGCAACCCCUCUCCGUAGUUGCCAUCAGGUGAUGCUGGGCACUCUGCGGACACUGCCGCCGUAAGGUGUGAGGAAGGUGGGGAUGACGUCAAAUCAGCACGGCCCUUACGUCCGGGGCUACACACGUGUUACAAUGGCCGGUACAGAGAGCCGGGUCUGCGCAAGCAGUCUCCAAUCCCAAAAGCCGGCCUCAGUUCGGACUGGGGUCUGCAACCCGACCCCACGAAGCUGGAUUCGCUAGUAAUCGCGCAUCAGCCAUGGCGCGGUGAAUACGUUCCCGGGCCUUGUACACACCGCCCGUCAAGCCAUGAAAGCCGGGGGCGCCUGAAGUCCGUGACCGCAAGGAGCGGCCUAGGGCGAAACUGGUAAUUGGGGCUAAGUCGUAACAAGGUAGCCGUACCGGAAGGUGUGGCUG
This 1010-nucleotide ribosomal RNA is filed under the name uncultured Bacteroidales bacterium. RNAcentral describes it as "bacterial SSU rRNA". It matches the Rfam family "Bacterial small subunit ribosomal RNA", at positions 498 to 1520 of the family's 1533-position model. The record is from RNAcentral. Lineage: Bacteria; Pseudomonadati; Bacteroidota; Bacteroidia; Bacteroidales.